RNAcentral lists this ribosomal RNA (459 nucleotides) under uncultured bacterium. Its description in RNAcentral is "partial 16S ribosomal RNA". It matches the Rfam family "Bacterial small subunit ribosomal RNA", at positions 338 to 795 of the family's 1533-position model. The record is from RNAcentral.
CCUACGGGUGGCAGCAGUGAGGAAUAUUGGUCAAUGGCCGGAAGGCUGAACCAGCCAAGCCGCGUGAAGGACGAAGGUGCCACGCAUUGUAAACUUCUUUUGUCAAGGGACAAAAUCAGGCUCGAGAGCCUGCCCGAGGGUUCUUGAGGAAAAAGCAUCGGCUAACUCCGUGCCAGCAGCCGCGGUAAUACGGAGGAUUCGGUGGUUACCCGGAUUUAUUGGGUUUACAGGGUGCGUAGGCGGACUUUUAAGUCAGCGGUAAAAUCCCGGGGCUCAACCCCGGCGAGCCGUUGAAACUGGCGGUCUUGAGAUGUCGAGAGGUAUGCGGAAUGCGCAGUGUAGCGGUGAAAUGCUUAGAUAUUGCGCAGAACUCCGAUUGCGAAGGCAGCAUACCGGCGGCGAACUGACGCUGAGGCACGAAAGCGUGGGUAUCGAACAGGAUUAGAUACCCUAGUAGUC